UAAUAUCGUAAAUCGUUAGUGGCGACGGGUGAGUAACACGUUGGAACCUGCCCCAAAGUAAGGGAUAAGCCACCGAAAGGUGGUCUAAUACCUUAUAGUAUCCAUCUCGUAUGGAUUAAAGCUUUAUGCGCUUUGGGAGGGGCCUGCGUUUGAUUAGCUAGUUGGUGAGGUAAAAGCUCACCAAGGCGACGAUCAAUAGCUGGUUUGAGAGGAUGACCAGCCACACUGGGACUGAGAUACGGCCCAGACUCCUACGGGAGGCAGCAGUAAGGAAUCUUCCACAAUGGGGCAACCCUGAUGGAGCAAUACCGCGUGCAGGAUGAAGCGUUUCGGCGUGUAAACUGCUUUUAUCACCGAAGAUUAUGACUGUAGGUGAAGAAUAAGGACCGGCUAACUACGUG
Molecule: ribosomal RNA, 401 nt
Filed under: uncultured bacterium
Lineage: Bacteria
Description: bacterial SSU rRNA
Rfam family: Bacterial small subunit ribosomal RNA
Source: RNAcentral